Molecule: long non-coding RNA, 619 nt
Organism: Cyprinus carpio carpio
Lineage: Eukaryota; Metazoa; Chordata; Actinopteri; Cypriniformes; Cyprinidae
Source: Ensembl
UAGGUGGCAGGUGGGCAGCGUCAGGGCCAGGGGAGGUAGUGGCACCGCGGUAAAGCCCCAAAGCCCCGUGGGACGCUGGGAUCAGGAGGAGGGGUCACGAUCCGUCCCGCCCGCCCGCCUAACCGCUGCACCUCAGCAGGCCUGACAUGCACGCUCAGGGGGGGCGACCAACAAUACAGCAAGCCUGCACUGUAAUUAAAGCCUGGUCCAGACGUGAGACCGCGGCUGACACGGCAUGGGAUGGAGCAGAGACCCAGCAGACUGAUGUACAUAAAACGAGUGCAAAACGAACAGACAGAAACAGACGCGCAUGAGUAAUGGACGCCGCUGCAGACUCACCAAGGAAAAAGUAAUACAGGUUUGCACUGACAUGAAGAUGAGGUGUGUUCCUUUAAAUUGUCGAGUGAUCUUCACAGCCUGUCAUGUGCCGUGUGCCGAGAUUGGAUGGUUACCGGCUGGUUAUUGGGUGUUUGAUUGUAAGAUCCGUCAUUGGUUGACGUUUGACCUCCUGCUAACUUACUGCAGAGGAAGUCCAGCCCUGUGGAAAUCCUUCGGCUCUGUGUCUUUGAAACUUUAGCACUCUGCUUCUCUCUGUUGUGUCUUUGAGUGGCGAAUCCCU